This 2169-nucleotide ribosomal RNA is filed under the name metagenome. Its description in RNAcentral is "bacterial LSU rRNA". It matches the Rfam family "Bacterial large subunit ribosomal RNA", at positions 305 to 2555 of the family's 2925-position model. The record is from RNAcentral.
ACUUGCAUCAUGAUCAGAGGUAUCUAGUCGAAUGGCGUGGGAAAGCCAACCACAGAGGGUGAGAGUCCCGUAGACGAAAGAGAAGACUGACAGCGAGUAUCCAGAGUACCGCCGGACACGUGAAACCCGGUGGGAACAUGGGAGGACCACCUUCCAAGCCUAAAUACUACCUGAUGACCGAUAGAGAAGCAGUACCGUGAGGGAAAGGUGAAAAGAACCCCGGGAGGGGAGUGAAAUAGUACCUGAAACCUUGUGCUUACAAGCAGUCAGAGCACGUUAAAGUGUGAUGGCGUACCUUUUGUAGAAUGGUCCGGCGAGUUAUAGUCACUGGCGAGGUUAAGCAAUUCAGUUGUGGAGCCGAAGGGAAACCGAGUCUUAAUAGGGCGUCGAGUCAGUGGCCAUAGACCUGAAACCGGGUGACCUAUCCAUGAGCAGGUUGAAGUUGGUGUAAAAGCCAAUGGAGGACCGAACCCACGUUCGUUGCAAUGACCGGGGAUGACUUGUGGAUAGCGGAGAAAUUCCAAUCGAACUCGGAGAUAGCUGGUUCUCCCCGAAAUAGCUUUAGGGCUAGCGUUGUGUUAGUUUACCGGAGGUAGAGCACUGAAUUGGCUAAGGGGCGAUGAGCUUACUGAACCUUAUCAAACUUCGAAUGCCGGAUAAAUGGUGCACAGCAGUCAGACAGUGUGAGAUAAGUUUCAUUGUCAAGAGGGAAACAGCCCAGACCCACAGCUAAGGUCCCAAAUGAACGCUAAGUGGAAAACGAUGUGGGGUUGCAGAAACAACCAGGAUGUUGGCUUAGAGGCAGCCACUCAUUAAAAGAGUGCGUAAUAGCUCACUGGUCGAGUGACCCUGCGCGGAAAAUAUAACGGGGCUAAGCGUCCAACCGAAGCUUGGGAUGUCUAAGGACAUGGUAGGGGAGCGUCGUGUAUAGGGAGAAGCAUGAGCGAGAGCACAUGUGGACAGUACACGAGUGAGAAUGCCGGAAUGAGUAGCGAGAAUUAUGUGGGAAUCAUAAUGGCCGAAAAUCUAAGGUUUCUUGGGGAAGGUUCGUCCGCCCAAGGUAAGCCGGGAGCUAAGGCGAGGCCGAAAGGCGUAGUCGAUGCACAUACGGUUGAAAUUCCGUAGCCGCCGAAAUUGUUAAGCACAGGGACACAUAGAGAUAUCCGAACCCGGGCGUUGGUUGACCCGGGCGCAAGGGACCGAACAUCAGUAGGGAAGUCGGAGAUGCUCUGUGGCGAGAAAAGCUGUGUGUAUUGAUUAGGCGCCCGUACCGCAAACCGACACAGGUAGAUGAGGAGAGAAUCCUAAGGCCAACGGGAGAAGGGUUGUUAAGGAACUCGGCAAAUUGACCCCGUAACUUCGGGAUAAGGGGAGCCUCCUACGGGAGGCCGCAGUGAAUAGGCCCAAGCAACUGUUUACCAAAAACACAGGUCUCUGCUAAAUCGAAAGAUGACGUAUAGGGGCUGACGCCUGCCCGGUGCCGGAAGGUUAAGAGGAGAGCUUAGCGCAAGCGAAGGUUUGAAUUGAAGCCCCGGUAAACGGCGGCCGUAACUAUAACGGUCCUAAGGUAGCGAAAUUCCUUGUCAGGUAAGUUCUGACCCGCACGAAUGGCGUAAUGAUUUGGGCACUGUCUCAACAGCCCGCCCGGCGAAAUUGUAGUACUGGUGAAGAUGCCAGUUACCCGCAACUAGACGGAAAGACCCCAUGGAGCUUUACUGUAGCUUAAUACUGAAGAUCGGUAAUGCAUGUACAGGAUAGGUGGGAGCCUAUGAAACCGGGCCGUCAGGUUCGGCGGAGGCAACCUUGGAAUACCACCCUUGUAUUGCUGGUUUUCUAACCUGCGGCCGUGAAUCCGGUCGGGGGACACUGUUAGGCGGGCAGUUUGACUGGGGCGGUCGCCUCCAAAAGAGUAACGGAGGCGCUCAAAGGUUGGCUCAGCACGGACGGAAAUCGUGCACAGAGUGCAAACGCAUAAGCCAACUUGACUGCGAGACCGACGGGUCGAGCAGGUACGAAAGUAGGAGUUAGUGAUCCGGUGGUAUGUGAGUGGAAAUGCCAUCGCUCAACGGAUAAAAGCUACCCUGGGGAUAACAGGCUGAUCUCCCCCAAGCGUCCACAGCGACGGGGAGGUUUGGCACCUCGAUGUCGGCUCGUCACAUCCUGGGGCUG